UGGGGAAUUUUGGACAAUGGACGCAAGUCUGAUCCAGUCAUGCCGCGUGCGGGAAGAGGGCCUUCGGGUUGUAAACCGCUUUUGUCAGGGAAGAAACGAGUUUCUCUAAUACAGAGACUUAAUAACGGUACCUGAAGAAUAAGCACCGGCUAACUACGUGCCAGCAGCCGCGGUAAUACGUAGGGUGCGAGCGUUAAUCGGAAUUACUGGGCGUAAAGCGUGCGCAGGCGGUUAUAUAAGACAGAUGUGAAAUCCCCGGGCUCAACCUGGGAACUGCAUUUGUGACUGCAUGGCUAGAGUACGGUAGAGGGGGAUGGAAUUCCGCGUGUAGCAGUGAAAUGCGUAGAUAUGCGGAGGAACACCGAUGGCGAAGGCAAUCCCCUGGACCUGUACUGACGCUCAUGCACGAAAGCGUGGGGAGCAAACA
RNAcentral lists this ribosomal RNA (427 nucleotides) under uncultured bacterium. RNAcentral's name for it is "bacterial SSU rRNA". It matches the Rfam family "Bacterial small subunit ribosomal RNA", at positions 355 to 774 of the family's 1533-position model. The record is from RNAcentral.